AUUGAACGCUGGCGGCAUGCCUUACACAUGCAAGUCGAACGGUAACGCGGGGGCAACCCUGGCGACGAGUGGCGAACGGGUGAGUAAUACAUCGGAACGUACCCAGUAGUGGGGGAUAGCUCGGCGAAAGCCGGAUUAAUACCGCAUACGACCUAUGGGUGAAAGCGGGGGAUCGCAAGACCUCGCGCUAUUGGAGCGGCCGAUGUCGGAUUAGCUAGUUGGUGAGGUAAAGGCUCACCAAGGCUACGAUCUGUAGCUGGUCUGAGAGGACGACCAGCCACACUGGGACUGAGACACGGCCCAGACUCCUACGGGAGGCAGCAGUGGGGAAUUUUGGACAAUGGGCGAAAGCCUGAUCCAGCCAUGCCGCGUGCGGGAAGAAGGCC
Molecule: ribosomal RNA, 386 nt
Filed under: uncultured bacterium
Lineage: Bacteria
Description: bacterial SSU rRNA
Rfam family: Bacterial small subunit ribosomal RNA
Source: RNAcentral